UACGAAGGGGGCUAGCGUUACUCGGAAUUAUUGGGCGUAAAGCGUGCGUAGGCGGUUAGAUAAGUUAAAAGUGAAAUCCCUGGGCUCAACCCAGGAACUAUUUUCAAAACUAUCUGACUAGAGUUUUGGAGAGGAUAGCAGAAUUCCUAGUGUAGAGGUGAAAUUCGUAGAUAUUAGGAGGAAUACCGGAGGCGAAAGCGGCUAUCUGGACAAAUACUGACGCUGUUGCACGAAAGCGUGGGGAGCAAACAGG
This 253-nucleotide ribosomal RNA is filed under the name uncultured bacterium. Its description in RNAcentral is "partial 16S ribosomal RNA". It matches the Rfam family "Bacterial small subunit ribosomal RNA", at positions 524 to 776 of the family's 1533-position model. The record is from RNAcentral.